This is a long non-coding RNA of Mytilus trossulus (common blue mussel), 640 nucleotides long. RefSeq lists it as uncharacterized. The record is from RefSeq and is a predicted model, not a curated record. The transcript has 2 exons. Lineage: Eukaryota; Metazoa; Mollusca; Bivalvia; Mytilida; Mytilidae.
AUGUAACAUCUGUUGUAAUUUUCAAAUCGUACAGGGCUGUAAGAAGAUUUGCCGGCACGCACAAGUCACAAAGACUGAAAGAUCAAAAUUAUUCAAUUUCACGAUUACACAAACACGACUAAGAAAAUGCAAGACACCUUUGAUGUGGAAACAUACAGAACUCCCUAUGAAAGUAAUACUGAAUGGAGAGAAAGGAAGAAGUUUUUAGAAGCCCAUCAUGACAAAUUUGAGGAGGAUCGUCUGGUUUGCUUGUCACAAUGUUAUUUGAAUGUCCGUAUGACUAGUUGUAGGUAUCCAGUAGAAGUCAUGAAACAACUUAGUGAACUAGCCAAAGAAAUGGAUGAAGAAAUGAGCUGAUGAAUACAGUAUGCAGUGGAUCAGGAGAUCAUUGAUGUUUGUCAACAGAAUCAACACACAUGUUUGUUCAAGCAAAGUUAUGACAUUCUAAAUACAUUUUAGAUAAUCUUACUACAAUAUAUAUAUCAGGUUGUUUUUUAAUUUGUGUACAAAGUUUUGAAACUAGAAAGCCUUGAUUGUACUUUUAGUCUGUAAUAUAUUGAUGUUAAAGGUACAAUUUGUAGAUCAGUUUUAUAUGAAGUAACAACAAUGAUUUUUUUGCAAUAAAAAUACAAUUAUCUGA